AAAAUAAGAAAUCACGUUUUUGGCGGAAAAAUGUGAAAUCAUUUUUUGGCGGGAAAAUCACGAAUUCACAUUUUGGCGGGAAAAAUACGGAAUCACGGUUUUGGUGGGAAAAAUAGGAAAUCACGUUUUUGGCGGGAAAAAUCACGAAUUAACAUUUUGGCGGGAAAAUGCAGAAUAACGAUUUUGGCGGGAAAAUACGUAAUCAUAUUUUUGGCGGGAAAAUGCUAAAUCUCGUUCUUGGGAGAAAAAAUUAUGGAAUUGCGUUUUUGGCGGGAAAAUGUUGAAUCACGUUUUGGCGGAAAAAUUUAUUUCAUGGUUUUAAUAGUUAAAUCAUGUUUACUUUGGUUUACUAAAAUCGGUUUACACAUUUGAUUUGGUUAUAUUUGGUUUACACAUUUGAUUUAGAAUGUUUAAUCUUUAUUGGUUUGGUUAUGAGUAAUCCAUUAAUCCAUUCUAACAUAAACCAUUUCAAUCCAAUUCAUUAAACUCACUAAUCCAUUAAAUCCAUUAAUCCAUUAAGAUCCAAAUUUCUCAUUCAUUAUAUCCAUGGAUUGGAUUGGUUUG
This 564-nucleotide long non-coding RNA is filed under the name Arabidopsis lyrata. RNAcentral describes it as "long non-coding RNA (ALYR_LNC002563)". The record is from RNAcentral. Lineage: Eukaryota; Viridiplantae; Streptophyta; Magnoliopsida; Brassicales; Brassicaceae.